UGGGGAAUUGUUCGCAAUGGGCGCAAGCCUGACGACGCAACGCCGCGUGGAGGAUGAAGAUUUUCGGAUCGUAAGCUCCUUUCGAUCGGGACGAAUCGGUCGCGACCUAACACGUCGUGGCACUGACGGUACCGAGAGAAGAAGCCCCGGCUAACUCCGUGCCAGCAGCCGCGGUAAUACGGGGGGGGCAAGCGUUGUUCGGAAUUACUGGGCGUAAAGGGCGCGUAGGCGGCCUACUAAGUCGGACGUGAAAUCCCUCGGCUCAACCGGGGAACUGCGUCCGAUACUGGUGGGCUUGAAUCCGGGAGAGGGAUGUGGAAUUCCAGGUGUAGCGGUGAAAUGCGUAGAUAUCUGGAGGAACACCGGUGGCGAAGGCGGCAUCCUGGACCGGUAUUGACGCUGAGGCGCGAAAGCCAGGGGAGCAAACGGGAUUAGGAUACCCCGGUAGUCCUGGCCCUAAACGAUGAGUGCUUGGUGUGGCGGGUAUCGAUCCCUGCCGUGCCGAAGCUAACGCAUUAA
This 519-nucleotide ribosomal RNA is filed under the name uncultured Acidobacteriota bacterium. RNAcentral describes it as "bacterial SSU rRNA". It matches the Rfam family "Bacterial small subunit ribosomal RNA", at positions 355 to 863 of the family's 1533-position model. The record is from RNAcentral. Lineage: Bacteria; Pseudomonadati; Acidobacteriota.